UACGAAGGGGGCUAGCGUUGCUCGGAAUCACUGGGCGUAAAGCGCACGUAGGCGGCUUGUUAAGUCGGGGGUGAAAUCCUGGGGCUCAACCUCAGAAUUGCCUCCGAUACUGGCAGUCUCGAGUGCGGGAGAGGUGAGUGGAAUUCCCAGUGUAGAGGUGAAAUUCGUAGAUAUUGGGAAGAACACCAGUGGCGAAGGCGGCUCACUGGCCCGUAACUGACGCUGAGGUGCGAAAGCGUGGGGAGCAAACAGG
This 253-nucleotide ribosomal RNA is filed under the name uncultured bacterium. RNAcentral's name for it is "partial 16S ribosomal RNA". It matches the Rfam family "Bacterial small subunit ribosomal RNA", at positions 524 to 776 of the family's 1533-position model. The record is from RNAcentral.